Molecule: non-coding RNA, 589 nt
Organism: Paramisgurnus dabryanus
Lineage: Eukaryota; Metazoa; Chordata; Actinopteri; Cypriniformes; Cobitidae
Source: RefSeq, a predicted model, not a curated record
CAUUACUUUACAGAUUUAUUUACAUUAAUAAAUACUAAUGCUACUAUUUUUAUUUUUACUAUUUAAAAUAUAAUUGAACAUUUUGGUUUGUAAAGACAGCAUACCAUUAUUAUCACCUUUCUGUUAACUGUUUUUCUCAACACACACAAAAAACAUUAUUAUUCUAGUGACAUUAGUGCAUAUCUGGAGGAAAGUGUACAAAUGGUUGGCUUCUAGGAGAUUCAGGAUAUCCUUUAAAACCAUUCCUAAUGACUCCUGUGCUCAAUGGGGAAACACCAGCAGAAAUGCGAUACAACCAGGCACAUAAAAAAUGUAGGUCCAGACAGGAGCGUCUCUUUGGAGUUUGGAAGAGCAGAUGGAGAUGCCAUGACACUAGUGGAGGCUACCUCCAAUAUUCCCCAGAGAAGGUUGUUCUUUUCAUCAAAGCUACAGCUGUCUUGCACAACAUGUGCAGAAUGGCAAACCUUCCUGACCCAGAAGUGGAUGUAGUAGAGGAGGAUGAAGCAAUACUUCCACCACAAGGACCUAACCCUGGGCUCCACAUGAGGAAUCAGCUUAUUCAAAGAUUUUUUUGCACAUUAAAAACAAC